RNAcentral lists this ribosomal RNA (253 nucleotides) under uncultured bacterium. RNAcentral's name for it is "partial 16S ribosomal RNA". It matches the Rfam family "Bacterial small subunit ribosomal RNA", at positions 524 to 776 of the family's 1533-position model. The record is from RNAcentral.
UACAGAGGGUGCGAGCGUUAAUCGGAAUUACUGGGCGUAAAGGGUGCGUAGGUGGUUGCAUAAGUUAGGUGUGAAAGUCCCGGGCUUAACCUGGGGAUUGCGCCUAAUACUGUGUAGCUAGAGUACUGUAGAGGAAGGUGGAAUUUCCAGUGUAGCGGUGAAAUGCGUAGAUAUUGGAAGGAACAUCGGUGGCGAAGGCGACCUUCUGGACAGAUACUGACACUGAGGCACGAAAGCAUGGGGAGCAAACAGG